UACAGAGGUCUCAAGCGUUGUUCGGAUUCAUUGGGCGUAAAGAGCGCGUAGGCGGCUAGAUAAGUCCGGUGUGAAAGUCACAGGCUCAACCUGUGAAUGCCGCUGGAAACUGUCUGGCUAGAGUCCGGAAGGGGCGAGUGGAAUUCCUGGUGUAGCGGUGAAAUGCGCAGAUAUCAGGAGGAACACCAAUGGCGAAGGCAGCUCGCUGGGACGGUACUGACGCUGAGGCGCGAAAGCGUGGGGAGCAAACAGG
RNAcentral lists this ribosomal RNA (253 nucleotides) under uncultured bacterium. Its description in RNAcentral is "partial 16S ribosomal RNA". It matches the Rfam family "Bacterial small subunit ribosomal RNA", at positions 524 to 776 of the family's 1533-position model. The record is from RNAcentral.